ACAGGCACUCAGUAUCCUUGUGAGGCCAAACAGAGAAGUCACAUGGUAAUACCUGAGUGUUUGU
Equus caballus (horse) is the source of this 64-nucleotide non-coding RNA. The record is from Rfam. NCBI's taxonomy places the organism in Eukaryota, Metazoa, Chordata, Mammalia, Perissodactyla, Equidae.